RNAcentral lists this long non-coding RNA (538 nucleotides) under Ursus maritimus (polar bear). RNAcentral's name for it is "lncRNA (ENSUMAG00000017211.1)". Lineage: Eukaryota; Metazoa; Chordata; Mammalia; Carnivora; Ursidae. The record is from RNAcentral.
UGCAGACUGCUGCACUUUGAAGACUGAAGCUUAAUUCACUGGCUUCUUUGGAUCCCUUGUCACUAAGUCAAUUUUCAGACAAAGCUGCUUUGGAAAGAGCCAAGGAAAAGGACAUCUCCCCUUGGCCAAAUGAUCUAGGAGUACAGCUGAGUGGCCUUGAGGAGAAUCCAUGGAGCCCCAGAAGCUGCUGAACAUUGGAUUUCUGCUGUGUUCCAUGAGUUGCCUCUUGAUGGAGACUGUAAGUUCCUCUACAUCACCUUUAUCUGCCUUUGGAAUACAAGACAAAGCAGGAUCGAAACCACGCUCAAGGGAAAACCACGGGUUCUGGCUUAGCAGCUUCAGAGAUUACUUGUGGGAUUGCAUCAAGACCUCCAUACCUCCAGCAGCUAUUUUUGCUUUUCUUCUCUCCAUAGCCAUAAUGGGGACCCUCUGCUGCCUCACUAUUCUUGUAGGUGAACCAGUCCAAUGAAGUACUAGAAGAUUCAGUUGGGCAGAAUAUGCUAUUUGCUUACAAUGAGGAAGUACCUAUCAAUUAAAA